RNAcentral lists this ribosomal RNA (252 nucleotides) under uncultured bacterium. RNAcentral's name for it is "partial 16S ribosomal RNA". It matches the Rfam family "Bacterial small subunit ribosomal RNA", at positions 524 to 776 of the family's 1533-position model. The record is from RNAcentral.
UACGUAGGGGGCAAGCGUUAUCCGGAUUCACUGGGUGUAAAGGGAGCGUAGACGGCCAUGCAAGCCUGGAGUGAAAGCCCGGGGCCCAACCCCGGACUGCUCUGGAAACUAUGUUACUAGAGUGCAGGAGAGGUAAGCGGAAUUCCUAGUGUAGCGGUGAAAUGCGUAGAUAUUAGGAGGAACACCAGUGGCGAAGGCGGCUUACUGGACUGUAACUGACGUUGAGGCUCGAAAGCGUGGGGAGCAAACAGG